Molecule: ribosomal RNA, 489 nt
Filed under: uncultured bacterium
Lineage: Bacteria
Description: partial 16S ribosomal RNA
Rfam family: Bacterial small subunit ribosomal RNA
Source: RNAcentral
GUGAACGCUGGCGGCAGGCCUAAUACAUGCAAGUCGAACGGCAGCACAGUGGAGCUUGCUCCAUGGGUGGCGAGUGGCGGACGGGUGAGGAAUACAUGGGAAUCUGCCCAGUCGUGGGGGAUAACGUAGGGAAACUUACGCCAAUACCGCAUGCGCCCUUCGGGGGAAAGCCGGGGACCUUCGGGCCUGGCGCGAUUGGAUGAGCCCAUGUUCGAUUAGCUAGUUGGCGGGGUAAAGGCCCACCAAGGCGACGAUCGAUAGCUGGUCUGAGAGGAUGAUCAGCCACACUGGGACUGAGACACGGCCCAGACUCCUACGGGAGGCAGCAGUAGGGAAUAUUGGACAAUGGGCGCAAGCCUGAUCCAGCCAUGCCGCGUGAGUGAAGAAGGCCCUCGGGUUGUAAAGCUCUUUUGUCCGGGAAGAAAAGCAUCGGGCUAAUACCUCGGUGUUCUGACGGUACCGGAAGAAUAAGCACCGGCUAACUUCGUG